Molecule: long non-coding RNA, 5508 nt
Filed under: Fukomys damarensis (Damara mole-rat)
Lineage: Eukaryota; Metazoa; Chordata; Mammalia; Rodentia; Bathyergidae
Description: lncRNA (ENSFDAG00000027877.1)
Source: RNAcentral
UGUGCCUGAAUUUGGAAAUAUGGUGUUUGAGGAUGUUACCAAGUUCAAAUGAAAUCCUUAGAGUGGGUCCUAAUCCAAGUAGAAGGAGUCUUGAAGAGGAGAUUAAAAUGCAGAUGUGCACAAAUGGAAGACCACAUGUAGAACUCUAAGCCAAGAGGAGUGGUCUCAGAAGAAAUCAACUCUGACACACCAGUCUUAGAAUUCUAGCAUCUACAAUUGUGAGAAAAUGUAUUUCUCUUCUUUAAACUACUGUCUGUGGUUCUUAGUUAUGGAACCCCUAGAAAAUUAACACACCGGGUCAGUCUGCUUUAGAGUCAACCCUUUUCAAUCCUCUUUAUCUGUUCCUGCAGCGCUGGCUCUGACUUGGAAUGUUUAUGCCUUGGAAUGGGAUUAGGCCUGUGGGGUGCCUAGUAACAUUCUGUUCCAUUGGAGUAAAUUCCAGGAGGCAGUUUAGUGCUCAGCUUGGCCCUGAAGGAGGAUGUAACCUCAGGAAACAGAACUCCAGUCUCCCAAAUGAAAAGCUUCCUGUAGCUACUCCAAGUCCUUCUAGGAAGAUCAACUGGAGAUUGAGACAGUGGAGAGACAGUCCACAUCCAAGCACCCUGAAUGCAUCAAAAAUCUUUGAGAAACGAUCUCCCAAAGCUCUGAGUUGACCUGCCUGGGCCAGGUGUGUGUACAGAGCUUGCUGCUUUGAUGAGUUUAGACAGGCCACCUACACAGCUCACCCCAUCUUCUGAGUGGACACACUCUUCGGAGGGAACCAGACAAGAACCUGUGAGGACAACUUUGCUGUCACCCCUGUCUGAGCCAAGAAGGAAAGUACAUUUUUUCCAAGUGCAAGCUCUGAGCUUCUGAAACUCAACAGCACAACGGCACAGUGGGACUGAUAUCAGGAGCUCAUGCAGAAAAUAAAAGAUUGGAAAAACACCCCUUUACUGGGGCUACAGUCACAUAAGUAUGAAGUCAAUGCAAAAAGGAGAUCCACUUCUUAAGAAAACCUGUUAAUAUUCUAGAUUAUUUAAAGAUUAUAUCUAAUUUUCUCUGAACAAAUUCAAAUAUGGGCAAACACAUGUAUAUAUUUCCUGAGUAAAAUAUGUCAUAAAAUACAUCAGUAAAAUACAUCAAAGGAGAAACUCUAUGGGCUGCUUCCUGGAAAGCAAUAUUGUCAUUCACUAAAAGUCAUUAAGGGGUUCUAUCAAUUUCUUUGUCAUGUAGAUUAAAGAAUGUAGCUUGCUGUGCAUUGGAUAUGGGUUGAAUGUGGCCCUCAAAGGCUUAUGUGUGGGAAGUUUGAUCCUUAUUGAUGGGCUUUAGCAGGCAGAGCCUAGUGGGAGGUCCUUAGAUCACGGUGGGUAGACUGACUUCAGAAUGGUGUGUGGGACCUUAGCUUUUCCUGGUUUCUUCUUUUUAUAUGGGAUUUCUUGCUUCCAUAUGUGCUUUUGCUAUUGUGACACUUUUGGCUGCUAGACUCUCACCAGAGUUAAACUGAUGCGGGUGCCUUAUAUUUGAUCCUUUAGAAUUGUGAGCUGUAUAAACGUUUUUCUUUUUUAGCUUGUCUUAGCUGUUUCCUUAUAUUAACAAAAAAAAGGCUAAUUCAGGGACUGACAGUGAGAUGUCUGAAAGUGAGACUUAAGAAGGCUACAGUGGGAUUUCUCAGAAGCAGAUUUUAACACAAAUAUCGGUAACAAAGGUUUUUAGGGAAGUGUUCACAGGAGAAGUCCAUAUGCAGUACAGAGCUUUGGAUAAAGCUAAUCAGUUUUAGUUGUGGAGAAUAGGAUCAGCUUGUUCUUCAUGGAGUCUCUCAUGUGUAGGCUGAGGUUCCGUUUGCCUCCCCCGAAGAUGAGAAGCUGGGCUUUCAAUGGGCUGAGAACUCCCCAGUACUUGCUGCGCCUUGAGAUGUCUGCAGGAAAAUGGACUCAGGAACUCUUGAGGAAAUUAUCCAAAGAAGAGUAUCAGGAGGAUGCAAGGAGAUCUAGGAAGAGCAAUGAAUGUCUUCCAUAGGCCAAGCCUGUCUCUGCUAAGACACUCUGCAUAAUGCCUUGGUUUCUGCAGGAUGGUGGUUGGAAGGUUUGUGGGAUGGGUUCUAAAUAUCCCUCUCCCCAUGGUUUGCACCAAGGCUAUAACUGAUUUUUUUCUCAUCUUCACCACUCAUCCAUCAAGAUUCUGUUCUGUCCACUUAAGGUCAAAGCAUAUGAUUCCUAAUGUAACUUAGACCUUAAUUCCGAAGGAGGAGUCUAGGUCAUGAGGGAUUUAACUCCCAACUGUUAUUCUUUUCAAGAUAUAGUUGUCAUUGGCCAUUUUUAGUGAAAACAGCAUGAAAGUAUUAGAGAUGUCCUAAAAGGAUCCUGGAGGUAUAGUUUUAGGAUGGCUUACAAUGGAUCAUUAUUCACUUUUAGGACUCUUACACACAAAAUGUAGAAUACAAUGAUUUUAAAGUUCAGAUAUUUAUUUAAUAUAAUUUUUAUUGUAAUAAAAAGAAAGUUCAGUACAAUAAAUCUGCCAAUUUAAUUUGGUUUUCUAGCACAUUUUGACACAUAGGCAGCUAUUUCAAGUUUAAAUAAAUAGAUGCUUUGUAUGUAUUCUGUGUGCACAAAUGUAUGCGAUCAUUUUAACAAAUUAUAGUCCCUAUAGUUAUUAACAAAGACAACUAAUGAAGUCUAGUUUCCCAAGAAGAAAAAACAGUGCAAACAAUAUUCUUUUCUUUUUUUAUAUACUUAAAAGAGUAUUGAGAAAAAGAUUUGUUUGGGUAGUCAAAAUUUUCUACCCAAAGAACAAGCAUUGGACAUAUGGAAGUCUCUGUUUAAUGAAACAUGAAAUGAAUUAAAUAGUUGGGACACUGCAGGCUUCUCUUGGAGAAAAAGCAGAACUGUGUAGAGAAGCUUUCCCUCAGGACUCACACUUUCUCCUUCCUGACAUAGUAGUGUCAGGAUGGGUCCAAGGGGCUCUAACAGUGAGCCUGCUGAUUACAAAAUAAUGAGCUACACUUCAUUCUCCACUGCUUUUUAAACAUUCCUUCAUUCAUUCAUUCACAAAAACAGUAUUUGCUAAGUACUUAGCCUGCAUAAGCCUCAUUUACUGGAGCCAAAAAAAUUGCAAGGCAUAGAAGCCAGUGUCCACAGCUCUUUUCAUUUGUUGCUCUUUCAUUGGAAGCGACUUGAGAUGAGAUCGGGCGAGUUCCGGGUGGUAUGGCCACUUCAAAUCAAACUCUCCUCACUAUUUUUGACGUAAGGUUGAGGAAUGAGUGAUCUUACAGAUUUGGAGAUCCCCAAGACUAUCUUCAGGCUUAAAUGGCAUUGGAAGGAUGUGUAGGACUUGGACAAUCUGUUAUGAUCAUGAUUAUGGCUCAUUGCAGUGAAAAGAUACACAUUACAUUGCACCCCCGAAAUUGUACAAUUUAAAAUUGUUACAAUGUAUAAUGAUUAUCUUUUCUAUAUAUUGCCUAUAAGAUAAUAUGAAUUUUUUAGUACUGUUUCAUAUUCUACCUCAAAAUCCAAUGAAUAUUUUGCUAAAAUCUGGAGUCAAAAAGGUACAGAGUGAUAGAGCAGCAACUCUGGUACAGGAUGCGAUGAUGCCAUUUAAUAGCCUGGUAUUUUCUGGAUGGCUUCUUCCAUACAAGGUAAGAAUCUUCAUUUCAGUACAUUUGCAGAGUUUAGCUUUAAAACUCAAUGAUACAAAAACAAAGUAGGUGUAUGAAGAAUUUAUCUGAACAAAACAAAGAACAUGUAUGAGAUCCUCAUAGGUUACAUCAUAUUUACUGGUGAAAAACUGAAAGACUUUUCCUUAAACGUUAUUCUUUUGAGAGUGGAUAUCCAGUUUCCCCAGCAACAAGACAAAGAACAGGAGGAGUCUCACUUGCUGCUUCUAUCCAACAUAGUAUCAUAGGAACCAACCAGAGAAGUUAGGUAAGAAAUAUCAUAAAAGCCAUCCAAAUUCAAAAGGAAGAACUAUAAUUACAUGGUCUUAUAAAAAAGCCCCUGAAGAAUAAACAUACACAUACACACACACACACACACACACAAUUUAAAAUUAAUAAAUGUGUUCAGUAAAUUGCAAGAUAUAAUCUCAUCUAUAGUAGCAUCAAAAAGAACAAAAUACUGAAGAAUAAACUUAAUCUAAGGAAGUGAAAUACCUGUGCCCUGAAAAGUACAAACUAGUGAUGAAAGAAAUUAAAGAAGACACCAAUAAAUACGAUGUAUUCAUGUGUUGAAAUAAUUAAUGUGGUUAAGAUACAGAUUUAACCCACAGUGAUCAGAUUCAGCAAAUCCCUAUUAAAAUACUAGCAAUUUUUUUAGAGAUAAUAAAAGUAAUCCUAAAAUUUAUAUGGAACCCCAAAUGAUCCUGAGUAGAAGGGCAAUAUUUAUAGAAUGAGCUGUUGUAUUCCUGAUUUGAAAAUAAUGAUAAAGCAACAGUAAUUAAAACAGUGUUAUGGUGGCCCCAAAACAGGCAUGCAUACCAAUGCAGCAAGUGAGAGGGACCAGAAAUACUUGUGCACACGGUAAGUGUGAUGAGGGUGGUAAGUGCAUACAGUAGGCAACAGGGAAAUGACAGUCUCUUCAACAAUAGUAUGGGGAAAACUGGAACUCCUCAUGCAAAUGAGUGAAAUUGCACCCUUAGUGUGUGCGUCCGUGUGUGUGCACAAGAGCAUAUAUACAUCUACUCGAAAUGGAUUUAAAACUUAAAUGUAAACCCGAAAUUGUAUUAAACAUGUGAGAAAGCCUUCAUGAUGUUGGCCUUACCAAUGAUUUCUUGUAUAAGACACCUAAAGUACAAAUAUUAAAAGCAAGAGUAGACAAGUAGGACUCCAUCAGACAGAAAAAAUCUGUGCCCACCAAAGAAAAAUAUCGACAGAGUGAAAAAAUAACCUAAAGAAUAGGAGAAAAACUUGCAAACCAUGUGUCUUAUAAAUUCAAUAUUCAAAAUAUGGAAGAAACUUCUACAAUUAAAGAACAGAAAUGUCCUAAGUAAUUUGUUCUAAGUAAUCUGAUUAAAAAUAGAUGAAAGAUUUUGAACUGCUGCCUAUUAAUCAUUUAAUGAGCCUCCUUUGUAGCAUGCUAGGUAUUUAAUCCAGAGCCUCACACUUGCUAAAUAUGCAAGCUACCACUGAACUACCUGUUAGCAUCAAUAAAUGUUUUUGAAAGCAGAAAUUAAAUGCAAGCACCUAUUGUAUGUGGAGGUAGAAAAGACACAGUCCUAUGCGAGAAGCAACUAUGCAGUGACAAGUCAUGCUGUGAAUGCCAUGCAAGGGUUUUGGUUUCUGUAUAUGAGAAAUGGUCAUAUUGGUUUCUAUUUGCAGAAAUUGAACAGUGGUAAUUACUGUGGUCAUGGUUUGCACAGUAUCAGGCAUUAGUUGGUUAAGCCAAUAAUUCUAAUUAUAGACAUCUGAAUUAGGAGGCUUUUUAUAGCUGAGAAAUGAUAGUCUAAUCAAGAUAAUGUGGUCAUUAAUUAUAUUUUUAGAAAUCUUUUUUAAAAAUCAUGCAGGGUAAUUUAUACUAUAAUCUUUUAAUGCUUCUG